This 450-nucleotide ribosomal RNA is filed under the name uncultured bacterium. Its description in RNAcentral is "partial 16S ribosomal RNA". It matches the Rfam family "Bacterial small subunit ribosomal RNA", at positions 354 to 796 of the family's 1533-position model. The record is from RNAcentral.
GUGAGGAAUAUUGCGCAAUGGGCGAAAGCCUGACGCAGCGACGCCGCGUGGAGGAUGAAGGUCUUCGGAUUGUAAACUUCUGUUAAGUGGGAAGAAAGGGCUGCUUUUAAUAGAAGCAGUUAAUGACGGUACCAUUAAAGAAAGCACCGGCUAAACUCGUGCCAGCAGCCGCGGUAAUACGAGUGGUGCAAGCGUUAUUCGGAAUAAUUGGGCGUACAGGGUGUGUAGGCGGUAUGUUAAGUCUGUUGUUAAAGACUCCGGCCUAACCGGAGACAGGCAGCGGAAACUGGCGUACUAGAGGGUGGAAGAGAGAAGUGGAAUUCUCGGUGUAGCGGUAAAAUGCGUAGAUAUCGAGAGGAACACCGAUGGCGAAGGCAGCUUCUUGGUCCAUACCUGACGCUGAAACACGAAAGCGUGGGGAGCAAACAGGAUUAGAAACCCGGGUAGUCC